GAUGAACGCUGGCGGCGUGCCUAAUACAUGCAAGUCGAGCGAACAGACGAGGAGCUUGCUCCCCUGACGUUAGCGGCGGAGGGGUGAGUAACACGUGGAUACCCUACCUAUAAGACUGAGAUCACUUGGGGAAACCGGAUAUAAUCCCGGAUAAUAUAUUGAACCGCAUGGUUCAAUAGUGAAAGACGGCUUUGGUGUAUCUUCUCGAUGCUUCCCAGCGGGUUUAGCUGGUUGGUAAGGUCCCGGCCUACCAAGGCUAGGAUGCGUGUCCGACGUGAGAGGGUGAUCGGCCACACUGGAACGGAGACACGGUCCAUACUCCUACGGGAGGCAGCAGUAGGGAAUCGUCCGCAAUGGGCGAAAGCCUGACGGAGCAACGCCGCGUGUGUGAUGAAGGUCUUCGGAUCGUAAAACUGUGUUAUUAGGGAAGAACAAAUGUGGAAUUAACUAUGGACGUCUUGACGGUACCUAAUCAGAAAGCCACGGCUAACUACGUG
Molecule: ribosomal RNA, 497 nt
Filed under: uncultured bacterium
Lineage: Bacteria
Description: partial 16S ribosomal RNA
Rfam family: Bacterial small subunit ribosomal RNA
Source: RNAcentral